Molecule: ribosomal RNA, 497 nt
Filed under: uncultured bacterium
Lineage: Bacteria
Description: partial 16S ribosomal RNA
Rfam family: Bacterial small subunit ribosomal RNA
Source: RNAcentral
GAUGAACGCUGGCGGCGUGCCUAAUACAUGCAAGUCGAGCGAACAGACGAGGAGCUUGCUCCUCUGACGUUAGCGGCGGACGGGUGAGUAACACGUGGAUAACCUACCUAUAAGACUGGGAUAACUUCGGGAAACCGGAGCUAAUACCGGAUAAUAUAUUGAACCGCAUGGUUCAAUAGUGAAAGACGGUUUUGCUGUCACUUAUAGAUGGAUCCGCGCCGCAUUAGCUAGUUGGUAAGGUAACGGCUUACCAAGGCAACGAUGCGUAGCCGACCUGAGAGGGUGAUCGGCCACACUGGAACUGGGACUCGGUCCAGACUCCUACGGGAGGCAGCAGUAGGGAAUCUUCCGCAAUGGGCGAAAGCUUGACGGAGCAACGCCGCGUGAGUGAUGAAGGUCUUCGGAUCGUAAAACUCUGUUAUUAGGGAAGAACAAAUGUGUAAGUAACUAUGCACGUCUUGACGGUACCUAAUCAGAAAGCCACGGCUAACUACGUG